Molecule: ribosomal RNA, 200 nt
Filed under: uncultured bacterium
Lineage: Bacteria
Description: partial 16S ribosomal RNA
Rfam family: Bacterial small subunit ribosomal RNA
Source: RNAcentral
AACGAACGCUGGCGGCAUGCCUAAUACAUGCAAGUCGAACGAGACCUUCGGGUCUAGUGGCGCACGGGUGCGUAACGCGUGGGAAUCUGCCCUUGGGUUCGGAAUAACAGUUGGAAACGACUGCUAAUACCGGAUGAUGACGAAAGUCCAAAGAUUUAUCGCCCAGGGAUGAGCCCGCGUAGGAUUAGCUAGUUGGUGAG